UUCAUUGAGAGUUUGAUCCUGGCUCAGGAUGAACGUUGGCGGUGUGUCUAAGGCAUGCAAGUCGAGCGACGUGUUUACCUUCGGGUGAAUUACGAGCGGCAAAUGGGAGAGUAACACAUUGGUAACCUACCUUCGAGUCGAGCAUAGCCCAGCGAAAGCUGGAUUAAUACUCGAUAGUCAUGGGGGGUCUUCGGACAUUCCCAUGUAAACUUUUUGGCUCGAAGAGGGGCCUAUGACUUAUCAGCUAGUUGGUGAGGUAAUAGCUCACCAAGGCUACGACGAGUACCGGGCGUGAGAGCGUGACCCGGCUCACUGGGACUGAGACACGGCCCAGACUCCUACGGGAGGCUGCAGUCAAGAAUAUUCCACAAUGCCCGAAAGGGUGAUGGAGCGACACCGCGUGCAGGAAGACGCCCUUCGGGGUGUAAACUGCUUUUCUCUACGACGAAUUUGUGACGGUAGUAGAGGAAUAAGAGGUUGCUAACUCUGUGCCAGCAGCAGCGGUAAUACAGAGACCUCAAACGUUAUCCGGAUUCAUUGGGCGUAAAGCGUCCGCAGGUGGUUUAGUACGUUAUGGGUCAAAUCCUAAGGCUUAACUUUAGGACUGCUCGUAAUACGGCUAAACUAGAGGCUGGUAGAGGCAAGCGGAACUGUCAGUGUAGUCGUAAUAAGCGCUGAUAUUGACAGGAACACCAAAGGCGAAAGCAGCUUGCUGGAACAUGCCUGACACUCAUGGACGAAAGCGUGGGGAGCGAAGGGGAUUAGAUACCCCCGUAGUCCACGCCCUAAACGAUGUGUACUAGGUAUUCGGAGUAUCGACCCUCCGAGUGCCGUUGAAAAAAGCUAACGCGUUAAGUACACCGCCUGGGGAGUACGGCCGCAAGGUUAAAACUCAAAGGAAUAGACGGGGACCCGCACAAGUAGAGGAUCAUGCGGUUUAAUUCGAUGAUACGCGUGGAACCUUACCUAGGCUUGACAUGUAGCUGCAAGCCCCGAGAAACCGGGGCCGCUUUCGAAGGUGCUACACAGGUGCUGCAUGGUUGCCGUCAGCUCGUGCCGUGAGGUGUACCGUUCAGUCGGGUAACGAGCGCAACCCUCGUCGUGUGUUACAUUGUACACACGAGACUGCCCCGGUAACGGGGAGGAAGGCGGGGACGACGUCAAAUCAGCAUGGCUCUUACGCCUAGGGCAACACGCAUGAUACAAUGGUCGGUACAAUGGGUAGCCAAACCGCGAGGUGGAGCUAAUCCCACAAAGCCGAUCCCAGUUCAGAUUGUAGGCUGCAAUUCGCCUGCAUGAAGUUGGAUUUACUAGUAACCGCGAAUCAGAACGUCGCGGUGAAUACGUUCUCGGGUCUUGUACUCACCGCCCGUCAUACCACGAAAGUUGGCAGCACCCGAAAGCUCUUUUUUAAGGGAUUAAGGUGAGGUCAGUAAUCAGGGUAAAGUCGUAACAAGGCAUCCGUAGCGGAAGCUGUGGAUGGAUCACCUCCUUU
Molecule: ribosomal RNA, 1495 nt
Filed under: Candidatus Magasanikiibacteriota bacterium
Lineage: Bacteria; Candidatus Magasanikiibacteriota
Description: bacterial SSU rRNA
Rfam family: Bacterial small subunit ribosomal RNA
Source: RNAcentral